AGCCGCCGCGGUAACACCGGCAGCUCUAGUGGUAGCAAUUUUAUUGGGCCUAAAGCGUCCGUAGCCGGUUUAAUAAGUCUCUGGUGAAAUCCUGCAGCUUAACUGUGGGAAUUGCUGGAGAUACUAUUAGACUUGAGACCGGGAGAGGUUAGAGGUACUCCCAGGGUAGAGGUGAAAUUCUGUAAUCCUGGGAGGACCGCCUGUUGCGAAGGCGUCUAACUGGAACGGUUCUGACGGUGAGGGACGAAAGUUAGGGGCGCGAACCGGAUUAGAUACCCGGGUAGUCCUAACUGUAAACGGUGCGGACUUGGUGUUGGGGUGGCUUUGAGCUGCUCCAGUGCCGAAGGGAAGCUGUUAAGUCCGCCGCCUGGGAAGUACGGUCGCAAGACUGAAACUUAAGGAAUUGGCGGGGGAGCACCACAACGCGUGGAGCCUGCCGGUUUAAUUGGAUUCAACGCCGGACAUCUCACCAGAGGCGACAGCUGUAUGAUAGCCAGGUUGAUGACUUUGCUUGACUAGCUGAGAAGAGGUGCAUGG
RNAcentral lists this ribosomal RNA (537 nucleotides) under uncultured archaeon. RNAcentral's name for it is "bacterial SSU rRNA". It matches the Rfam family "Archaeal small subunit ribosomal RNA", at positions 460 to 997 of the family's 1478-position model. The record is from RNAcentral.